This 267-nucleotide unclassified non-coding RNA is filed under the name Hevea brasiliensis (rubber tree). Lineage: Eukaryota; Viridiplantae; Streptophyta; Magnoliopsida; Malpighiales; Euphorbiaceae. The record is from RNAcentral.
AAAUAAUAUGACUAACCAUGUUAACUUUGAUGAAGUAGAAUACACAAGAGUCUUUGUGACCCAGUAAUCCUGACUUCUUUAUUAUUGUGCUAUUCCUGGUUGUGAUUAUGGAGCACCAAAGCUUGCAGCAAAACAUUAAUUUUCUAUGUUCAUUCUUUGAGUAAUCUUUAGAUUGGUUUAUCUAAUUUAAUGGUUUUGCUUUGCUACUUUUUCUCUUCUAUAAUUUUUGGGUAUUGAUUUUUUUCAAUUUGCAUGGGAUGAAUAUUC